ACUGGGCGCAGUGGCUUACUCCUGUAAUCCCAGCAGCUUGGGAAGUUGAGGCAGGAGGAUCUUGAGUUGAAAGCCAGUCCAGGAAUGGUGAAGCACUAAGCAACUCAGUGAGACCCUGUCUCUA
RNAcentral lists this small RNA (124 nucleotides) under Marmota monax (woodchuck). Lineage: Eukaryota; Metazoa; Chordata; Mammalia; Rodentia; Sciuridae. The record is from RNAcentral.